This 1958-nucleotide ribosomal RNA is filed under the name human gut metagenome. RNAcentral's name for it is "bacterial LSU rRNA". It matches the Rfam family "Bacterial large subunit ribosomal RNA", at positions 1 to 1984 of the family's 2925-position model. The record is from RNAcentral.
GAAAGUAAGCAAGGGCAGACGGUGGAUGCCUUGGCUCUCGGAGGCGACGAAGGACGUGAUAAGCUGCGAAAAGCUCGGGGGAGGCGCAAAUAGCCGUUGAUCCCGGGAUAUCCGAAUGGGGCAACCCGGCAGGCUGAAGGCCUGCCAUCCCGUAAGGGAGGCGAACGUGGGGAACUGAAACAUCUAAGUACCCAUAGGAGGAGAAAAUAAACAAUGAUUCCGUAAGUAGUGGCGAGCGAACACGGAAGAGCCCAAACCCAUGUCGUCUAGGCGACACGGGGGUUGUAGGACCACGACGUGGCAAGAGGAUGGCAAGUGGAACGCCUUGGAAAGGGCGACCGUAGAGGGUGAUAGUCCCGUACACGACUGCCGAUUGAAGCCUAGUGGUAUCCUGAGUAGCGCGGGGCACGAGAAAUCUUGCGUGAAACAGCGGGGCCCAUCCCGUAAGGCUAAAUACUCCCGAGAGACCGAUAGCGAACCAGUACCGUGAGGGAAAGGUGAAAAGAACCCCGAGCAGGGGAGUGAAAUAGACCCUGAACCCGUCUGCCUACAAGCGGUCGGAGCAUAGCAAUAUGUGACGGCGUGCCUUUUGCAUAAUGAACCUACGAGUUACCUUCCCCGGCAAGGUUAAGUACCUAAGGUACGGAGCCGAAGCGAAAGCGAGUCUGAAGAGGGCGGCCAGUCGGGGGGGGUAGACGCGAAACCGAGUGAUCUACCCUUGGCCAGGUUGAAGGUUGGGUAACACCAACUGGAGGACCGGAUGGGUAAGCGUUGAAAAGCUUUCCAAUGAGCUGAGGGUAGGGGUGAAAGGCUAAUCAAACUCGGAGAUAGCUCGUACUCCCCGAAAUGCAUUUAGGUGCAGCCUCUUUAUAGUAUAUCGUGAGGUAGAGCGACUGAUUGGAUGCGAGGGCUUCACCGCCUAUCAAGUCCAGAUAAACUCCGAAUGCGCGAUAUAUAUUUACAGGGAGUGAGGGCGCGGGUGCUAAGGUCCGUGUCCGAGAGGAGAAGAAUCCAGACCACCGGCUAAGGCCCCCAAAUGAUCGUUGAGUUGAACUAACGAGGUCGGAUCGCAGAGACAGCUAGGAUGUUGGCUUGGAAGCAGCCAUUCAUUUAAAGAGUGCGUAACAGCUCACUAGUCGAGCGAUCUGGCGUGGAUAAUAAUCGGGCAUAAACGAUCUGCCGAAGCCGUGGAUGUCGUAAGACAUGGUAGGGGAGCAUUCCAUGCGGCGUCGAAGAUGAGGGAUGACCCUUGUUGGAGCGCAUGGAAAAGCAAAUGUAGGUAUGAGUAACGAUAAGGGGGGCGAGAAACCCCCCCGCCGAAAGACCAAGGUUUCCUGAUCAACGCUAAUCGGAUCAGGGUGAGUCGGGACCUAAGGCAAAGCCGAACGGCGACGCCGAUGGAAGAAUGGGUUAAUAUUCCCAUACUGCCUCAUGGAGUGACGUGGAGACGGAGAAGUGACAGUCCUGCCGGCUGACGGAAUAGCCGGUUGAAGGGUGUAGAUAUUGAUUCCCGUAGGCAAAUCCGCGGGGAGAGUCGAACCUGACAGUAUACCGAGUACUUGUACGAGGUAAUAUGGACGUAACCAUGCUCCCAAGAAAAUCCGCUAAACUUAUCCAUGCGGCACCCGUACCGUAAACGGACACACGUGGUCGGGUUGAGAAUACUGAGGCGCUCGAGUGACUCACGGUUAAGGAACUAGGCAAAUUGACCCUGUAACUUCGGGAUAAAGGGUCCUCGUCGUAAGGCGAGGCGCAGAGAAUAGGUCCAGGCAACUGUUUAACAAAAACACAUGGCUGUGCUAAAUGGAAACAUGACGUAUACAGCCUGACACCUGCCCGGUGCUGGAAGGUUAAGAGGAGAUGUCAUCGCGAGAGAAGCGUUGAAUUGAAGCCCCAGUAAACGGCGGCCGUAACUAUAACGGUCCUAAGGUAGCGAAAUUCCUUGUCGGGUAAGUUCC